RNAcentral lists this ribosomal RNA (253 nucleotides) under uncultured bacterium. RNAcentral describes it as "partial 16S ribosomal RNA". It matches the Rfam family "Bacterial small subunit ribosomal RNA", at positions 524 to 776 of the family's 1533-position model. The record is from RNAcentral.
UACGUAGGGCGCAAGCGUUAUCCGGAAUUACUGGGCGUAAAGGGCGCGUAGGCGGCCUGCUAAGUCGAACGUGAAAUCCCCGGGCUCAACCCGGGAACUGCGUCCGAUACUGGUUGGCUUGAAUCCGGGAGAGGGAUGCGGAAUUCCAGGUGUAGCGGUGAAAUGCGUAGAUAUCUGGAGGAACACCGGUGGCGAAGGCGGCAUCCUGGACCGGCAUUGACGCUGAGGCGCGAAAGCCAGGGGAGCAAACGGG